UACGUAGGUGGCAAGCGUUAUCCGGAUUUAUUGGGCGUAAAGAGAACGCAGGCGGUCUUUUAAGUCUGAUGUGAAAGCCUUCGGCUUAACCGGAGUAGUGCAUUGGAAACUGGGAGACUUGAGUGCAGAAGAGGAGAGUGGAACUCCAUGUGUAGCGGUAAAAUGCGUAGAUAUAUGGAAGAACACCAGUGGCGAAAGCGGCUCUCUGGUCUGUAACUGACGCUGAGGUUCGAAAGCGUGGGUAGCAAACAGG
RNAcentral lists this ribosomal RNA (253 nucleotides) under uncultured bacterium. RNAcentral's name for it is "partial 16S ribosomal RNA". It matches the Rfam family "Bacterial small subunit ribosomal RNA", at positions 524 to 776 of the family's 1533-position model. The record is from RNAcentral.